RNAcentral lists this ribosomal RNA (500 nucleotides) under uncultured bacterium. RNAcentral's name for it is "bacterial SSU rRNA". It matches the Rfam family "Bacterial small subunit ribosomal RNA", at positions 1010 to 1512 of the family's 1533-position model. The record is from RNAcentral.
GGGAGUGCCCGAAAGGGAAUCGGAACACAGGUGCUGCAUGGCUGUCGUCAGCUCGUGUCGUGAGAUGUUGGGUUAAGUCCCGCAACGAGCGCAACCCUUAUCAUUAGUUGCUACGCAAGGGCACUCUAAUGAGACUGCCGGUGACAAACCGGAGGAAGGUGGGGAUGACGUCAAGUCCUCAUGGCCCUUAUGGGUAGGGCUUCACACGUCAUACAAUGGUCGGUACAGAGGGUUGCCAAGCCGCGAGGUGGAGCCAAUCCCAGAAAGCCGAUCGUAGUCCGGAUUGGAGUCUGCAACUCGACUCCAUGAAGUUGGAAUCGCUAGUAAUCGUGGAUCAGAAUGCCACGGUGAAUACGUUCCCGGGCCUUGUACACACCGCCCGUCACACCACGAGAGUCGGUUGUACCAGAAGGCGUUGGGCUAACCCGCAAGGGAGGCAGGCGCCCAAGGUAUGGCUGGUAAUUGGGGUGAAGUCGUAACAAGGUAGCCGUAGGGGAACC